GUGAGUAACCUGCUUCUCCAGUUGGGCAGGACUUUGGGAUUCCCCUGGAUGAGACUCCUGGGUAGGAUAGAUCCCCUGAUAUUACUGUUGGAUCACACCGAAUGAGAUAACCAAAUUUUCCUUCUCAUGGUGCCACUUACAAAGGGCUUCUGAAUAAUUAUCUGUUUGAUCCUUACACCAACCCUAGGAGGUGAAGCUACUAAUGUUAUCCCCAAUUUAAAGAUGUGAAAACUGAGACUCACGGAAACUAGGUGACUUGUCUAGGGUCACACAGCCAGGAAACGUCAAGGACCGGCUCUUCAGGGAAGGACAUCCCCACAACCAGGACCCCUGGCAAAGAGGAAUUAAAGACCCAGUUGUGUUGUGAUGUUCAUUAUUCAGAUCUCGGAGCGCUCACGGAUCUCUUGGAUGUCCCCUGCCAGCUCAACUGAUGAGACUGCUACUUUAUGUACCACUGCUUGAAAAAGAAGGGAAUCUCCUAUUUCUCACACAGGAUAACAGUUGAGAGUCAUUGCCACAAUAAAACAGACAUGUUAGCGGUCAGGUUCAUAUAAGGACUAAGCGGCCCCAUGAAUCACAUAGGACUGGCUAAUCCUAGGACACUCCUCUCUGUGGUUUGCUAGGUAGCAGAGAGGGGAAGCUAAAUAGUAGUUUCUAAUAACAACUGGGAAGGCUUUUUCUUUUUAAAUAAAAAUGGAAUUGGCAUAAUUGGGAAUGAAGAUAAAGCUUGGAACCAAGUUAGAGAAGGCAAAGUGUACGUAGAAGAGCUGUUACAAAUAUAAAACUUGGCUGCGUUCUUUGUGAAGGCUCAAACUUGGGAAGGUUAAAUACCAUAAAUUUUUUCAUUUGUUCUGUAUUUUGAUCCUGAAAAGAAAGCUGGCUUUGCCCAUGUAUUACUUUAAAAACUUGGGGGAAAGGAGAAGAAAGGGACAAGUUUUUAAAAACUGUUUGAAAACAUUACAGCUGAAAGAAGCUACAUAGGAGCUGGGUAGAGAACCUAGUGACUAAGAGAAUGAGGAAUGCCGAGUACGCAUCCUGUGGGCGGGGCUCUACCCUUGCCGCUUUCAGGUGAUAAAUGGCAAUUCAGCUUCAACCUGGAUUACAGGAAUAGCCAUUGUUUUAGACUUCAACUGUCACGUAAGCAGUUCAGCUGAACUGAGGCACCAUGACGUGAGGAAGCCCAAAGUCAGCCUAUCUGGAGGGAUCACAUGGAGAGGUCCCAAGACUACACAAAAAGAAGAUGAUAUGAAUGCCUGGCCAGCCCCUAGCUGCUCUAGUUCCUUGCUGUUCCAGCUCCAGCCAUCAUCCAACUGCAACUGCAUGAGAGACCCCAGAAGCAUAGAGCUAAGCCCUUCCCAAAUUCCUUCCCACAGAAACCCUGAGAGAUAAUAAAUGACUGUUGUUGUUUUCAAUCACUGUUUUGAAAUUGGUUGUUAGGCAGCAAGAGAAGCCAGAACAGGGACCUUGGAAUACACAGAAUUUCUUAAUCAGGAUACAAAAAGA
RNAcentral lists this long non-coding RNA (1503 nucleotides) under Homo sapiens (human). Its description in RNAcentral is "HSALNT0033787". The record is from RNAcentral. Lineage: Eukaryota; Metazoa; Chordata; Mammalia; Primates; Hominidae.